Molecule: ribosomal RNA, 253 nt
Filed under: uncultured bacterium
Lineage: Bacteria
Description: partial 16S ribosomal RNA
Rfam family: Bacterial small subunit ribosomal RNA
Source: RNAcentral
UACGUAGGUGGCAAGCGUUGUCCGGAAUUAUUGGGCGUAAAGCGCACGUAGGCGGCUUAGCAAGUCGGAAGUGAAAUCCCACGGCUCAACCAUGGAAGUGCUUUCGAAACUGCUGAGCUUGAGUACGAAAGAGGAUCGCGGAAUUCCCGGUGUAGAGGUGAAAUUCGUAGAUAUCGGGAGGAACACCAGUGGCGAAGGCGGCGAUCUGGGUCGAUACUGACGCUGAGGUGCGAAAGCGUGGGGAGCGAACAGG